GGCAACCUGAUGGGGUCCCUUUUCAAGCUGUGGAACCUUUGUUCUUUCUCUGUUUGCAAUAAAUCUUGCCACUGCUCACUCUUUGGGUCCACACUGCUUUUAUGAGCUGUAACACUCACCGCGAAGGUCCGCAGCUUCACUCCUGAAGCCAGCGAGACCACGAGCCUACUGGGAGGAACGAACAACUCCCGACGCGCCGCCUUAAGAGCUGUAACACUCACCGCGAAGGUCUGCAGCUUCACUCCUGAGCCAGCGAGACCACGAACCCACCAGAAGGAAAAAACUCCGAACACAUCUGAACAUCAGAAGCAACAAACUCCGGACACGCCGCCUUUAAGAACUGUAACACUCACUGCGAGGGUCCGCGGCUUCAUUCUUGAAGUGAGUGAGACCAAGAACCCACCAGUUCUGGACACAAUUUCAAGUCCUCAGGCAAUCUAGAUGCUGGGGACACAAGGUCCACCUUCCAGGAAUAUGGCCAUGACACCAGAAAUCACAAACAUGAUGAGAAUGGAAUGACUGGGGAAGAAGUGCCAGAUGCUUCACUUGUAAAUGAAGACCCAGCCUCUGGGGAUGCAGAUACCACCUCCCUGAAGAAGCUGAAUAUCUGCAGAUAAGUGGAGUUCACCAAUGAUGAGGAGCGGGAUGGAGAAAGGAGGUAGGGAGAGUCAUCCAAGGAACAUGAGCAACAUGUUAAAAGUGUAUUCGACACACAGCUGCCUGAUG
This 726-nucleotide long non-coding RNA is filed under the name Homo sapiens (human). Its description in RNAcentral is "HSALNT0307641". The record is from RNAcentral. Lineage: Eukaryota; Metazoa; Chordata; Mammalia; Primates; Hominidae.